Molecule: ribosomal RNA, 25 nt
Filed under: Lactarius castaneus
Lineage: Eukaryota; Fungi; Basidiomycota; Agaricomycetes; Russulales; Russulaceae
Description: partial 28S ribosomal RNA
Source: RNAcentral
UGACCUCAAAUCGGGUGAGAGAGGA